RNAcentral lists this ribosomal RNA (244 nucleotides) under uncultured bacterium. Its description in RNAcentral is "partial small subunit ribosomal RNA". It matches the Rfam family "Bacterial small subunit ribosomal RNA", at positions 26 to 285 of the family's 1533-position model. The record is from RNAcentral.
AGAAUCAACGCUGGCGGCGUGCCUAACACAUGCAAGUCGCACGAGAAAGGGGAGCAAUCCCUGAGUAAAGUGGCGCACGGGUGAGUAACACGUGACUAACCUACCUUUUAGUGGGGAUAACCUAGGGAAACCUGGGCUAAUACCGCAUAACACUUACGAGUCAAAGCAGCAAUGCGCUGAAAGAGGGGGUCGCGGCCGAUUAGCUAGUUGGCGGGGUAAUGGCCCACCAAGGCAGUGAUCGGUA